This 3054-nucleotide long non-coding RNA is filed under the name Nicotiana tabacum (common tobacco). RNAcentral describes it as "long non-coding RNA (NTAB_LNC005593)". The record is from RNAcentral. Lineage: Eukaryota; Viridiplantae; Streptophyta; Magnoliopsida; Solanales; Solanaceae.
UUCGUUUAGUUAUAGUAACUCGUCUAGUGUUAUCUAGGAUCGUUCCAAGGUUGUAACCCAUGUCUAUUUUGCUUGUUUUGUUUUUCAAACCCUUUCACCGUCUGUCUAAUGCAAUCUCAUAUUUUCUGUUAUUUCUAGUUAUUUUUGUUUAGUUCUCUUUUCCUUUUAUAGUUUUUUUCAUGCCGACUCUAGUGACAUGAUUUGCACGCGGAAUUCUCAGCCUGGUCUUGAAAAUUAGUCUAAUCAGGAAGCAAUGAAACAAAUUUUGAAGAUGAUAGGGACAUUUGAGGGAAAGAAGUAAAGAUUUGAAUAUUUUGAGAUCAUUUAAAUCCCGAAUUGUAUGAAACUGGGCAGAUAGUUUGGGAAGUUAAUAGGACGACAAGGAUUUGGUAUAAGAGAGUGCAUCCUAGAAUUUUUGAAGCAAGCAACUUUGAGUUCAAGUGCAUCUCAGGUUACAAGAUAAAGCCAAGGGAGUUUGUCCCAAACUGACGGAGGGUAUUCAUUGUGAAGAAGAAAUCACCCAAUGAGAGUUCUGUACUUGACACGACACUAAAGAAAGAUGGAAGGCAUAUCUGGGAUAUAAAUACCGAUGCUACAAAAGAAAUGUUGUGCAUGAUCUUCAUUUUUCAUCCUCAAGUUGCAUGUGUCGUACUUGGCAUUUUCAGAGAUUGGGAGGCCCUCUUUCAACUACCCAAACACUUUAUACCCUUCGGUACCCUUUUGAGCCUGUGCUGAUCUCUUUGACUUUUCCUCUUUUGGAAUCAAGUUAAAGUCAUAAAAAAGAAAAAAAGAAAAAAAGAAGAAGAAGUUUGUAUCCCCAUAGGUUUGUUUCAUAAUCCCACGAAGUCAAGAGUGGGGCAAUUUUCGUAGAAAUUCCAUAUAAAAAAAAGGAAGAGGUUCAAAUUCUCUUGUUUUAUAAACCGGGGCAAAGUUUUAAAAUACAUUCCAAAAGUUAUAAAUAAAUUAUCCAUUUUAUCUUAGUUUGAAUUUGAGCCUUCAUGCCUUUCUUUCUUUCUUUCUAAUCCUGUCCAAAAGUCACAUUAAAGUCCAAAAAAGACCUCCCAUAUGAUCUUUGAGAGUGCCGAGUUAGACAUGCCAGGAGCAUAUGAUAUUUUUACCAUGGUUAAUGCUUUGUCAUCUGCAGAAUCAGAGGACAUAAGAAGAAAAGAAGAAAAUGAGAGAGUCUUAUAGGUGAAAACCCUCACGGGCACCAUAAGGAGACGGUGAGUUGAGAGAAAGAACAAAAUGAGAGAGGCUUGAUAGUAAAAACCCUUCAGGGCACUACAAGUCGACUGAGGAUCGUGAAUUAGAUAGGACAAUUGGAGCAUUGAAACCUAGUUUCACAGCUUAGAGGUAUGACAAGAAUGGAAGAUUAGACUUGCUUGACAGAUCAUGCCACUUAUUCCAAGAUGCACGUCAUGAUCAUUAGAGUUGGUGUUACAUCAGAAAACUUUCUACUUUGUAAUUCUUUUGUUAGAUGUCAUAUCUUUCCAUUGUCCCUUUACUUUGUUCUUCUUGCUUUGUUUAAGUCCUCUUUUUGAGUCUGCUCUGUCAGAACAAGUGAGAAAUGACUUCAAAAUUUGCUACCAGCUUUCCAAUUGCACAAAGCGAAGUGUGACUAGCACAUCAAAGUGGCAUAAGUCAGGGAAAAGUGGCAUUCGUACUGAGUUGAUAACAAUUGAAGUGCUUUGGGAUUCAUGUGAAAUGCAAAGGUUCGGUAAAUGUCAAUUCAUGGGUACAAUGCAACAGAUAGAGGAUUUGGGCUUGAACGGAUCAUAGGUAUUUUCUGUGAUAAGGGUGAUAGAGAAAGUGGUUAGCCAAUAACAAUCAAGGUCUUCCAAGUUGAAAUCAAAGUUAUCAUGGCAAGUGUAGGAGCAAUCACCCUCAAGAUCAAGGCCACAAAUCAACCACUAUGUUUUAAACUCACAAGUCUUCUUUGCUUGAAACAGGGACGAAGACUAUGUCCAAAUCAAAGAUUGGAAGUUGGAAUUUUUCAGGUAUCGUGCCCAAAUUUUGGGAGCACAAAGGUUGUUUGAGAAGGUUUUUACCUAGUUGAGAAGAUCAUACCUCCUAGGCAUUCUCCCUAGUUGGAAGAAUUUAUAGUUUUUCUUAAGUUCAGGGGUCCCGCCUGGAGAAUAGGGUCAAUUGUUAGUUUCCUUAAGUUUUAAUCUUUAGUUUUUUGAGUUCAGGGGUCCCGCCUGGAAAAUAUGGUCAAUUUUUAGUUUAGUCAAGCUCAGUUUAUAGUUUUCCUCAAGCUCAACCUCAAAUAUAGGAGAUGCACUUCCUAGUUUGGGUUUUUCAGAUUCUAUUUCUUUAGGAGGUGCACUUCCUAAUUUUAUGUUAAAGGCUUCACCCUUAGGAGACGCACUUCCUAGUGUGAGUCAUUUAAGUUCAUCCCUAGGAGACGCACUUCCUAGUUUGAGUAAUUUAAGUUCACCCCUAGUAGACUCACUUCCUAAUCUGGAUCUUUCAGGUUAUUCUUUUAGGAGACGUACUUCCUAGUUUGGGUCAUUCAGGUUUUAUUUUUAGCAGACGCAUUUGCAAGUCAAAUUUUCUUGGUUUUACUAAUAGGAGACGUACAUACUAGUCGAGUCUUUAGUUUUACUCUCAUCAUUGCAUCAAUAGCAUAGGUAUUUUACAGUUUUGCUAACAACUCACAAAUCUUCCUAGUGUAAACUGAGGCAGAAAAUUUUGUUUGUUGUGUUGUUUUAAUUGCAGGCACCCACUUGAAAAAUGAAGGGAAAUAUUUCAGAAAUCAAUUUUAGGUUCAAGUCAUUGGCAGGCGCCCACCUGGAGAACGAGGAAAUUUAUUUCAAUUUUAAAGUCAUCAGGCGCCCACCUGGAGAAUGAGGGAAUUUAUUUUAAGUUUUAAGUCAUCACGCGCCCACCUGGAGAACGAGGGAAUUUAUUUCAAGUUUUAAGUCAUCAGGCGCCCACCUGGAGAAUGAGGGAAUUUAUUUCAAGUUUUAAGUCAUCAAAAGCCCACCUGGAGAAUGAGGGAAUUUAUUUCAAGUUUUAAGUCAUCAGGCGCCCACCUAGAGAACGAGGGAAUUC